AUUGAACGCUGGCGGCAUGCUUUACACAUGCAAGUCGAACGGUAACAGGCCGCAAGGUGCUGACGAGUGGCGAACGGGUGAGUAAUGCAUCGGAACGUGCCCAGUCGUGGGGGAUAACGCAGCGAAAGCUGUGCUAAUACCGCAUACGAUCUAUGGAUGAAAGCGGGGGACCGUAAGGCCUCGCGCGAUUGGAGCGGCCGAUGUGAGAUUAGGUAGUUGGUGGGGUAAAGGCUCACCAAGACAACGAUCUGUAGCUGGUCUGAGAGGACGGACAGCAACAGUGGGACUGAAACACGGCGCUGCUUCCUACGGUCGGCAGGUGGGGGGAGUUUUGAACAAUGGGCGCAAGCCUGUUCCAGCAAUGCCGCGUGCGGGAAGAAGGCUUUGGGGUUGUAAUCUUCUUUUGUAAGGAACGAAAAGUUUCGAGAUAAUCCCCUGAGCCGAUGACGGUACCGAAAAAAUAAGCACCGGCUAACUACGUGCCAGCCGCCGCCGUAA
This 498-nucleotide ribosomal RNA is filed under the name uncultured bacterium. Its description in RNAcentral is "partial 16S ribosomal RNA". It matches the Rfam family "Bacterial small subunit ribosomal RNA", at positions 30 to 523 of the family's 1533-position model. The record is from RNAcentral.